GUCGUUGUAGUAUAGUGGUGAGUAUCCCGCCUGUCACGCGGGAGACCCGAGGUUCGAUCCCCGGCAACGGCG
This 72-nucleotide transfer RNA is filed under the name Ipomoea nil (Japanese morning glory). It matches the Rfam family "tRNA". From Rfam's summary of the family: Transfer RNA (tRNA) molecules are approximately 80 nucleotides in length. Their secondary structure includes four short double-helical elements and three loops (D, anti-codon, and T loops). Lineage: Eukaryota; Viridiplantae; Streptophyta; Magnoliopsida; Solanales; Convolvulaceae. The record is from Rfam by way of RNAcentral.